RNAcentral lists this ribosomal RNA (429 nucleotides) under Chloroflexota bacterium. RNAcentral describes it as "Chloroflexi bacterium partial 16S ribosomal RNA". It matches the Rfam family "Bacterial small subunit ribosomal RNA", at positions 355 to 776 of the family's 1533-position model. Lineage: Bacteria; Bacillati; Chloroflexota. The record is from RNAcentral. RNAcentral also lists the same sequence under 1 other name.
UAGGGAAUCUUCGGCAAUGGACGAAAGUCUGACCGAGCAACGCCGCGUGAGUGAAGAAGGUUUUCGGAUCGUAAAACUCUGUUGUUAGAGAAGAACAAGGACGUUAGUAACUGAACGUCCCCUGACGGUAUCUAACCAGAAAGCCACGGCUAACUACGUGCCAGCAGCCGCGGUAAUACGUAGGUGGCAAGCGUUGUCCGGAUUUAUUGGGCGUAAAGCGAGCGCAGGCGGUUUCUUAAGUCUGAUGUGAAAGCCCCCGGCUCAACCGGGGAGGGUCAUUGGAAACUGGGAGACUUGAGUGCAGAAGAGGAGAGUGGAAUUCCAUGUGUAGCGGUGAAAUGCGUAGAUAUAUUGAGGAACACCAGUGGCGAAGGCGGCUCUCUGGUCUGUAACUGACGCUGAGGCUCGAAAGCGUGGGGAGCAAACAGG